Long non-coding RNA from Musca vetustissima, 435 nucleotides. RefSeq lists it as uncharacterized. NCBI's taxonomy places the organism in Eukaryota, Metazoa, Arthropoda, Insecta, Diptera, Muscidae. The transcript has 2 exons. The record is from RefSeq and is a predicted model, not a curated record.
UAACAGCUGAUCGUCGCUCUCCGCUCGUAUUAAUGGACCGUGUCAUCAGAAUUACUGCCGAAUAUUAUGGCGAAAAUAAAGUCUUGGACACGUAAACAUUUUGGCCGCAAACUUUGGACAUUCCAACAGGACUCAGCACCAUCGCACUCAGCACGCGUCACCCAAGAAUGGCUACAAAAUGAGGUUCCUCGCUUCAUAUCCAGCGCACAAUGGCCACCAAAAUCUCCGUAUACCAAUCCGUUGGACUAUUGUGUCUGGAGUAUUUUGGAAAGCAAGCAACAUUCGGGCAGCGUGUGACGGUUUCAUUGUCCGCUUGAAGGCCAUAUUUCGUGCAAAAAGUCACCAAUUCGAACAAAUCUGAACUUAUUCUAAAAUUUUAUGCUAUUUCCGACAUUUAUUGCUUUCAUUCAAUAAAAUUAAAAAAAAACAUUAAAA